RNAcentral lists this ribosomal RNA (240 nucleotides) under uncultured Staphylococcus sp. Its description in RNAcentral is "partial 16S ribosomal RNA". It matches the Rfam family "Bacterial small subunit ribosomal RNA", at positions 99 to 334 of the family's 1533-position model. The record is from RNAcentral. Lineage: Bacteria; Bacillati; Bacillota; Bacilli; Caryophanales; Staphylococcaceae.
CGGACGGGUGAGUAACACGUGGAUAACCUACCUAUAAGACUGGGAUAACUUCGGGAAACCGGAGCUAAUACCGGAUAAUAUUUUGAACCGCAUGGUUCAAAAGUGAAAGACGGUCUUGCUGUCACUUAUAGAUGGAUCCGCGCUGCAUUAGCUAGUUGGUAAGGUAACGGCUUACAAGGCAACGAUGCAUAGCCGACCUGAGAGGGUGAUCGGCCACACUGGAACUGAGACACGGUCCAG